Potamilus streckersoni is the source of this 74-nucleotide non-coding RNA. The record is from the annotation of a GenBank genome assembly. NCBI's taxonomy places the organism in Eukaryota, Metazoa, Mollusca, Bivalvia, Unionida, Unionidae.
AGCUCCUGUGGCCUAGUGGUUAAAGCGUCCUCCUCAGAUGCGGGAGGUCGAGGGUUCGAUCUCCGGUCGAGUCA